This is a small nuclear RNA of Echinops telfairi (small Madagascar hedgehog), 182 nucleotides long. RefSeq annotates it as U2 spliceosomal RNA. The transcript has a single exon. Lineage: Eukaryota; Metazoa; Chordata; Mammalia; Afrosoricida; Tenrecidae. The record is from RefSeq and is a predicted model, not a curated record.
AUUGCUUCUUGGCCUUUUGGCUAAGAUCAAGUGUAGGAUCUCUAUCUAGAUGUCCAAUAGAUCUCUCAAACUCCAUAGGUCCAAGAUUGAACUCAUUUUUGUAAUUAAAAUUUUGAAUACAUUUAUUUUUAUUUUCUUUAUUUUGCUGUGCUCGAAAAUAUGCACAGUAAAACAUACACGGA